AUUCCAGCUCCAAUAGCGUAUAUUAAAGUUGUUGCAGUUAAAACGCUCGUAGUCGGAUUUCGGGGCGGCUUCGUCGGUCUGCCGAUGGGUAUGCACUGACGCGGGCGUCCUUCCUUCCGGAGACGCGUCCUACUCUUAGCUGAGCGGGGCGUGGAGACGGAUCGUUUACUUUGAAAAAAUCAGAGUGUUUCAAGCAGGCAUCAUCGCUCUUGCAUGGAUUAGCAUGGGAUAAUGAAAUAGGACCUUGGUGCUAUUUUGUUGGUUUCGAGCACCGAAGUAAUGAUUAACAGGGACAGUCAGGGGCACUCGUAUUCCGCCGAGAGAGGUGAAAUUCUCAGACCAGCGGAAGACGAACCACUGCGAAAGCAUUUGCCAGGGAUGUUUUCAUCG
RNAcentral lists this ribosomal RNA (390 nucleotides) under Dicrateria sp. Its description in RNAcentral is "partial small subunit ribosomal RNA". It matches the Rfam family "Eukaryotic small subunit ribosomal RNA", at positions 582 to 975 of the family's 1831-position model. Lineage: Eukaryota; Haptophyta; Isochrysidales; Isochrysidaceae. The record is from RNAcentral.